GGGGGCGCACCGGUUUCGACUUGUGACUGGACGCGAGGGUAGCAUGCCGAGGACGAUGCGUUGGCCUCGUAAAAAAGCGCAUCAAAACAAACAAACGCAAACUCCAACGAGCUUGCUCUCGCGGCCUAAGAAACCGCGACGGAUCCCGCGGCGAAGUCUGUAGCCGCUGCAUCCGCCAACCUACAGGCUGGCCUGACGCCGGGGCAUCCGCGGCCAGGGUGAGACCAACAGGGUGACCGGGGCGGGAAAUUUUGCCGGACGAAGUUUCCGCCCUUAAACCAAAUGACCGGCUGAGCAUGGAGAGACCCCCGCGAAAGGCAGCAAGGACACGGGUUCAAUUCCCGUCGCCUCCACCU
Molecule: transfer-messenger RNA, 356 nt
Filed under: Verrucomicrobiales
Lineage: Bacteria; Pseudomonadati; Verrucomicrobiota; Verrucomicrobiia
Also listed under: 1 other name
Description: JAGNEJ01 sp018003315 Standard tmRNA
Rfam family: transfer-messenger RNA
About the family: Bacterial tmRNA, also known as 10Sa RNA or SsrA, is named for its dual tRNA and mRNA-like properties.
Source: RNAcentral